GACGAACGCUGGCGGCGCGCUUAACACAUGCAAGUCGAACGGAAAGGCCUGCUUUCCCUUGUGGAUUGCGGGUACUCGAGUGGCGAACGGGUGAGUAACACGUGAGUGAUCUGCCCCCAACUUGGGUAUAAGCCUGGGAAACUGGGUCUAAUUCCCGAUAGGACUGCAGGGUGGUGCCUGUGGUGGAAAACGAUUUUCUAGUGGUUGGGGAUGAGCUCGCGGCCUAUCAGCUUGUUGGUGGGGUAAUGGCCUACCAAGGCGGCGACGGGUAGCCGGCCUGGGAGCGUGGACGGCCACAUUGGGACUGGGAUACGGCCCAGACUCCUACGGGAGGCAGCAGUGGGGAAUAUUGCACAAUGGGCGGAAGCCUGAUGCAGCGACGCCGCGUGGGGGAUGACGGCCUUCGGGUUGUAAACUCCUUUCGACCGCGAGGAAGCCACCUGGUUGGAAGGGUGGUGACGGUAGUGGUAGAAGAAGCACCGGCUAACUACGUG
This 494-nucleotide ribosomal RNA is filed under the name uncultured bacterium. Its description in RNAcentral is "partial 16S ribosomal RNA". It matches the Rfam family "Bacterial small subunit ribosomal RNA", at positions 28 to 507 of the family's 1533-position model. The record is from RNAcentral.